UGGCUCACCAAGGCAACGAUCAUAGCCGACCUGAGAGGGUGAUCGGCCACAUUGGAACUGAGACACGGUCCAAACUCCUACGGGAGGCAGCAGUGGGGAAUAUUGCACAAUGGGCGAAAGCCUGAUGCAGCAACGGCGCGUGAGCGAUGAAGGCCUUCGGGUCGUAAAGCUCUGUCCUCAAGGAAGAUAAUGACGGUACUGAGAGA
RNAcentral lists this ribosomal RNA (206 nucleotides) under uncultured Peptostreptococcaceae bacterium. Its description in RNAcentral is "partial 16S ribosomal RNA". It matches the Rfam family "Bacterial small subunit ribosomal RNA", at positions 261 to 486 of the family's 1533-position model. The record is from RNAcentral. Lineage: Bacteria; Bacillati; Bacillota; Clostridia; Peptostreptococcales; Peptostreptococcaceae.